GCUCGGGGGCCACCUUUGUAACAGCUUCUCUUGUCUUCAUAGCCAAGGCCCAGAAGAUUGAGAUGGACAAAUUGGAAAAGGCCAAAAAGGAGCGAACGAAAAUUGAGUUUGUGACGGGCACCAAGAAAGGCACCACGACCAACGCCACAUCCACCACCACUACCACUGCUAGCACAGCUGUUGCAGAUGCUCAGAAGAGAAAGAGCAAGUGGGACUCGGCUAUCCCAGUGACAACGAUAGCCCAGCCCACCAU
This 253-nucleotide small RNA is filed under the name Pongo abelii (Sumatran orangutan). RNAcentral describes it as "retained intron". The record is from RNAcentral. Lineage: Eukaryota; Metazoa; Chordata; Mammalia; Primates; Hominidae.